RNAcentral lists this long non-coding RNA (535 nucleotides) under Helianthus annuus (common sunflower). Its description in RNAcentral is "sRNA HanXRQr2_Chr14g0649351". The record is from RNAcentral. Lineage: Eukaryota; Viridiplantae; Streptophyta; Magnoliopsida; Asterales; Asteraceae.
UCUUGGUUUAAAAAGGGCGAGGCGCUCCUAAACUAAGAGAAUGCCAAUAGUACAAACUACAAAAGCUUCCAAGCCUAAAAUUUGGACCAUGCAAGCACUGCAAACUACCAGUUAGUUUUCAACACAAAAAGGUUCCAAUAGAUGGUUUAUUUAAUAUAGUUUGGGAAAUUUUGUAUUGAUCAUAAAUUAUCCCUAUUUGUACAGAACUUCGUACUUAUCCUUCUAUCCACUAUCUGCUUUUUCUAAUGAUAGUCUUUUUGAAUUUGUCCUUCAACUCUGUUAUGGACAUCACCCUACAAGAACUUCCGUUCUGUGGUUGAACGAUUAUUAACCAACUCAAGACUUUUGCUGACUGAGUUGACCACAUUUAACUCAGCUUUGACCCGUCUCCAAAUUGUUUCGUAGUCCCUUUAGCAGCUUCCAACACCACCACAUGUCACCCUGUUUCGAGGCAUCUCCGUCGCCAGUGGUCACCAUCGCAGACCACCACCAUAACCUUCAACAACCACAAGUUCAUGCCCCAAAUCAUCAAAUG